UCCGGAAUGGUGUAGUGGCUAGCAUUUCUGCCUCUCAAUGAUCCAAGUGAUCGGCGUGAACGCAGGAGACCGGGGUUCAAUUCCCCGUUCCGGAA
The sequence is a transfer RNA, 95 nucleotides long. It matches the Rfam family "tRNA". From Rfam's summary of the family: Transfer RNA (tRNA) molecules are approximately 80 nucleotides in length. The record is from Rfam.